AUCGUGGACCAAAGAGGAAACUGACAACACACAGACAGAAGAAGACAGAGAAGGUCACUUCUGAUCCAUCAAAGUCCUCAUCUUCUGUGUCUGAAUUGAACAGCUGGGCAACAGCUUUUGAACAGGUUUCUUCAUCUAACAUGCCGGGUUCCCUCUCAUCAUGGUUGAUCGCUGCCAGCGUACGUAGUGUACGUAAUACGUCCCUGUGUCCGACAGUCAGCCUCGCGUGUGGAGACUUCAGAAGAUGCCAGACCUCACAAAGAUUUCAGAUGAUGGAAACUAUAGAUGAACAUGCAAAGCUGCUAAAUAAUCCUUAUAUUGUAAUCAUUGUCCUAAAAGGUAAGUUUGCAGGCUGAUUUAAGGUGUGCUCCUACAUUUUCUGCUUGUACUCCUAUGUAUUUAUGAUACAAAUGUAAAUGACUGUAA
Carassius auratus (goldfish) is the source of this 426-nucleotide long non-coding RNA. RefSeq lists it as uncharacterized. Lineage: Eukaryota; Metazoa; Chordata; Actinopteri; Cypriniformes; Cyprinidae. The record is from RefSeq and is a predicted model, not a curated record. The transcript has 3 exons.